UACGGGAGGCAGCAGUGGGGAAUCUUGCGCAAUGGGCGAAAGCCUGACGCAGCAACGCCGCGUGCGGGAAGAAGGCUUUCGGGCUGUAAACCGCUUUCAGUAGGAACGAAACUGACGGUACC
RNAcentral lists this ribosomal RNA (122 nucleotides) under uncultured bacterium. RNAcentral's name for it is "partial 16S ribosomal RNA". It matches the Rfam family "Bacterial small subunit ribosomal RNA", at positions 340 to 479 of the family's 1533-position model. The record is from RNAcentral.